Molecule: transfer RNA, 69 nt
Filed under: Marmota monax (woodchuck)
Lineage: Eukaryota; Metazoa; Chordata; Mammalia; Rodentia; Sciuridae
Description: tRNA.Ala
Source: RNAcentral
GGAAUAUAGCUCAGUUGGUAGAGUGCUUGCCUUGCAUGCACAAGGCCCUGGGUUUGAUCUCCAGAACCA